CUCACAUUCCAGUGUUCCUAAUGGAGGUGUAGAUUACAUCUCACAUUCCAGUGUUCCUAAUGGAGGUGUAGAUUACAUCUCACAUUCCAGUGUUCCUAAUGGAGGUGUAGAUUACAUCUCACAUUCCAGUGUUCCUAAUGGAGGUGUAGAUUACA
Oncorhynchus keta (chum salmon) is the source of this 155-nucleotide long non-coding RNA. RefSeq lists it as uncharacterized. The transcript is spliced from 3 exons. The record is from RefSeq and is a predicted model, not a curated record. NCBI's taxonomy places the organism in Eukaryota, Metazoa, Chordata, Actinopteri, Salmoniformes, Salmonidae.